RNAcentral lists this ribosomal RNA (498 nucleotides) under uncultured bacterium. RNAcentral's name for it is "partial 16S ribosomal RNA". It matches the Rfam family "Bacterial small subunit ribosomal RNA", at positions 28 to 508 of the family's 1533-position model. The record is from RNAcentral.
GAUGAACGCUGGCGGCGUGCCUAAUACAUGCAAGUCGAGCGAACAGAUGAGGAGCUUGCUCCUCUGACGUUAGCGGCGGACGGGUGAGUAACACGUGGAUAACCUACCUAUAAGACUGGGAUAACUUCGGGAAACCGGAGCUAAUACCGGAUAAUAUAUUGAACCGCAUGGUUCAAUAGUGAAAGACGGUUUUGCUGUCACUUAUAGAUGGAUCCGCGCCGCAUUAGCUAGUUGGUAAGGUAACGGCUUACCAAGGCAACGAUGCGUAGCCGACCUGAGAGGGUGAUCGGCCACACUGGAACUGAGACACGGUCCAGACUCCUACGGGAGGCAGCAGUAGGGAAUCUUCCGCAAUGGGCGAAAGCCUGACGGAGCAACGCCGCGUGAGUGAUGAAGGGCUUCGGAUCGUAAAACUCUGUUAUUAGGGAAGAACAAAUGUGUAAGUAACUAUGCACGUCUUGACGGUACCUAAUCAGAAAGCCACGGCUAACUACGUGC